Molecule: ribosomal RNA, 554 nt
Filed under: uncultured bacterium
Lineage: Bacteria
Description: bacterial SSU rRNA
Rfam family: Bacterial small subunit ribosomal RNA
Source: RNAcentral
ACACGUGGGCAACCUGCCUGUAAGUUGGGGAUAACUCCGGGAAACCGGGGCUAAUACCGAAUGAUAAGAUGUGGCGCAUGCCACGCCUUUGAAAGAUGGUUUCGGCUAUCGCUUACAGAUGGGCCCGCGGUGCAUUAGCUAGUUGGUAGGGUAAUGGCCUACCAAGGCAACGAUGCAUAGCCGACCUGAGAGGGUGAUCGGCCACACUGGGACUGAGACACGGCCCAGACUCCUACGGGAGGCAGCAGUAGGGAAUCUUCCGCAAUGGACGAAAGUCUGACGGAGCAACGCCGCGUGUAUGAAGAAGGUUUUCGGAUCGUAAAGUACUGUUGUUAGAGAAGAACAAGGAUAAGAGUAACUGCUUGUCCCUUGACGGUAUCUAACCAGAAAGCCACGGCUAACUACGUGCCAGCAGCCGCGGUAAUACGUAGGUGGCAAGCGUUGUCCGGAUUUAUUGGGCGUAAAGCGCGCGCAGGCGGUCUUUUAAGUCUGAUGUGAAAGCCCCCGGCUUAACCGGGGAGGGUCAUUGGAAACUGGAAGACUGGAGUGCAGAA